UGGGGAAUAUUGAACAAUGGGCGCAAGCUUGAUGCAGCAAUGCCCCGUGUGUGAAGAAGGCCUUCGGGUUGUAAAGCACUUUUAGCGGGGAGGAAGGCGAUAAGGUUAAUAACCUUGUCGAUUGACGUUACCCGCAGAAGAAGCACCGGCUAACUCGGUGCCAGCAGCUGCGGUAAUACGGAGGGUGCAAGCGUUAAUCGGAAUUACUGGGCGUAAAGCGAACGCAGGCGGUCUGUCAAGUCGGAUGUGAAAUCCCCGGGCUCAACCUGGGAACUGCAUUCGAAACUGGCAGGCUAGAGUCUUGUAGAGGGGGGUAGAAUUCCAGGUGUAGCGGUGAAAUGCGUAGAGAUCUGGAGGAAUACCGGUGGCGAAGGCGGCCCCCUGGACAAAGACUGACGCUCAGGUGCGAAAGCGUGGGGAGCAAACAGG
This 429-nucleotide ribosomal RNA is filed under the name Chloroflexota bacterium. RNAcentral's name for it is "Chloroflexi bacterium partial 16S ribosomal RNA". It matches the Rfam family "Bacterial small subunit ribosomal RNA", at positions 355 to 776 of the family's 1533-position model. Lineage: Bacteria; Bacillati; Chloroflexota. The record is from RNAcentral.